RNAcentral lists this ribosomal RNA (798 nucleotides) under uncultured bacterium. RNAcentral's name for it is "bacterial SSU rRNA". It matches the Rfam family "Bacterial small subunit ribosomal RNA", at positions 72 to 869 of the family's 1533-position model. The record is from RNAcentral.
UGAACCUAGUGAUGUAUGAGUUAGUGGCGGACGGGUGAGUAACGCGUGGAGAACCUGCCGUAUACUGGGGGAUAACACUUAGAAAUAGGUGCUAAUACCGCAUAAGCGCACAGCUUCGCAUGAAGCAGUGUGAAAAACUCUGGUGGUAUACGAUGGAUCCGCGUCUGAUUAGCUGGUUGGCGGGGUAACAGCCCACCAAGGCGACGAUCAGUAGCCGGCCUGAGAGGGUGAACGGCCACAUUGGGACUGAGACACGGCCCAAACUCCUACGGGAGGCAGCAGUGGGGAAUAUUGCACAAUGGGGGAAACCCUGAUGCAGCGACGCCGCGUGAGUGAAGAAGUAUUUCGGUAUGUAAAGCUCUAUCAGCAGGGAAGAAAUACUGACCUUACGGUCAGCAGACGGUACCUGACUAAGAAGCCCCGGCUAACUACGUGCCAGCAGCCGCGGUAAUACGUAGGGGGCAAGCGUUAUCCGGAUUUACUGGGUGUAAAGGGAGCGUAGACGGCAGCGCAAGUCUGAAGUGAAAUCCCAUGGCUUAACCAUGGAACUGCUUUGGAAACUGUGCAGCUGGAGUGCAGGAGAGGUAAGCGGAAUUCCUAGUGUAGCGGUGAAAUGCGUAGAUAUUAGGAGGAACACCAGUGGCGAAGGCGGCUUACUGGACUGUAACUGACGUUGAGGCUCGAAAGCGUGGGGAGCAAACAGGAUUAGAUACCCUGGUAGUCCACGCCGUAAACGAUGAUUACUAGGUGUUGGGGGACCAAGGUCCUUCGGUGCCGGCGCAAACGCAUUAAGUAAUC